AUUGAACGCUGGCGGAAUGCUUUACACAUGCAAGUCGAACGGCAGCACGGACUUCGGUCUGGUGGCGAGUGGCGAACGGGUGAGUAAUGUAUCGGAACGUACCUUUCAGUGGGGGAUAACGUAGCGAAAGUUACGCUAAUACCGCAUAUUCUGUGAGCAGGAAAGCAGGGGAUCUUCGGACCUUGCGCUUUUGGAGCGGCCGAUGUCGGAUUAGCUAGUUGGUGGGGUAAAGGCCCACCAAGGCGACGAUCCGUAGCGGGUCUGAGAGGAUGAUCCGCCACACUGGAACUGAGACACGGUCCAGACUCCUACGGGAGGCAGCAGUGGGGAAUUUUGGACAAUGGGCGCAAGCCUGAUCCAGCCAUGCCGCCGUGAGUGAG
RNAcentral lists this ribosomal RNA (380 nucleotides) under uncultured bacterium. Its description in RNAcentral is "bacterial SSU rRNA". It matches the Rfam family "Bacterial small subunit ribosomal RNA", at positions 30 to 409 of the family's 1533-position model. The record is from RNAcentral.